This 432-nucleotide unclassified non-coding RNA is filed under the name Hevea brasiliensis (rubber tree). Lineage: Eukaryota; Viridiplantae; Streptophyta; Magnoliopsida; Malpighiales; Euphorbiaceae. The record is from RNAcentral.
AAAUGAAUCUAGAGUGGAAAAAUGUUAGGUCGUUUAAACUGGCAGUAAUCCCUAAACCACAUCGCUUGUAGACCACCACCGCAGUACGCAUGUGGCUCGUCCUCUCCACCAGAGUCGCCUCUUGCCAAUUCUAGAGCCAAGGAGACCUCUGCGCGACCAAAAUCAAGCUCUCUAUUCGCUUCCGUAGAGAACCGCCUCCUCUGGAUUUUCAAGCCGUAAAGCGAGCUGCGGAUUUUGUAGACGAAGCAUUAGGGCUUGCUUGUUACUAGCAUGGAAGUUGCAGAGAUUGAUGGCCUUCCAAGAAUGGUAACCUUCACUUCCCUCUGAUGGUGACGUUGGUUAAAAUGAAUGCUUUGACAGUGAUUAGGACUACUGAAUUGGCGUGCAUUGGUGAUGCAAGGACCUACAUUUGGAGCCAUGAUGAUAUCAGGG